RNAcentral lists this ribosomal RNA (436 nucleotides) under Salmonella enterica subsp. enterica serovar Schwarzengrund. RNAcentral describes it as "bacterial LSU rRNA". It matches the Rfam family "Bacterial large subunit ribosomal RNA", at positions 243 to 616 of the family's 2925-position model. The record is from RNAcentral. Lineage: Bacteria; Pseudomonadati; Pseudomonadota; Gammaproteobacteria; Enterobacterales; Enterobacteriaceae.
GUAGCGGCGAGCGAACGGGGAUGAGCCCAGAGCCUGAAUCAGCAUGUGUGUUAGUGGAAGCGUCUGGAAAGGCGCGCGAUACAGGGUGACAGCCCCGUACACAAAAGCGCAUAUGCUGUGAGCUCGAUGAGUAGGGCGGGACACGUGGUAUCCUGUCUGAAUAUGGGGGGACCAUCCUCCAAGGCUAAAUACUCCUGACUGACCGAUAGUGAACCAGUACCGUGAGGGAAAGGCGAAAAGAACCCCGGCGAGGGGAGUGAAAAAGAACCUGAAACCGUGUACGUACAAGCAGUGGGAGCCCCACCACUAAGCCAGUGGUGAACUCCACAUACGCAUCCUUUGCUGAGGAUGCGGUUAACGGAGCGAAAGCGACGUUCAACCGCAAAAGAAGCAGAGGGGGCUUAGUGGUGGGGUGACUGCGUACCUUUUGUAUAAU